GUUUCCGUAGUGUAGUGGUUAUCACUAUAUUGCGCUUUACACGCGCAAGGUCCCCAGUUCAAACCUGGGCGGAAACA
Dendronephthya gigantea is the source of this 77-nucleotide non-coding RNA. Lineage: Eukaryota; Metazoa; Cnidaria; Anthozoa; Malacalcyonacea; Nephtheidae. The record is from the annotation of a RefSeq genome assembly.